Molecule: long non-coding RNA, 194 nt
Organism: Sinocyclocheilus rhinocerous
Lineage: Eukaryota; Metazoa; Chordata; Actinopteri; Cypriniformes; Cyprinidae
Exons: 3
Source: RefSeq, a predicted model, not a curated record
ACACGUGCCACCUGAUUGUAUUUAAUUGGUUGGUAGUAAGGGUAGUUUAUUUAGGGCGUCCUUGACGCUGAAGAUUUUUCUUUCUAUUUAAUUUAGGGGUUUGUUUGUGAAUAUUGAUGGUUGAGUUAGAUUAGAAGUUUUGUUUUUGUUCUUAGUAAGAUUAGUUAUGUUUUGUUCAUUUCUUUGAUUUUGCA